This 1199-nucleotide long non-coding RNA is filed under the name Chinchilla lanigera (long-tailed chinchilla). RNAcentral describes it as "lncRNA (ENSCLAG00000023476.1)". Lineage: Eukaryota; Metazoa; Chordata; Mammalia; Rodentia; Chinchillidae. The record is from RNAcentral.
UACAAACACACAGAAAUGUCAUUAAGGCAGCAAACAGCCCCACUGGCCUCCGUAGAGGCCUUUUCUAGCAGGCUCAAGUUACCUAAAAUCAAUAUUUGAACAAGGACAAAACCACAUGUUUUCAAUACCAAAUUAGAGGGGUCUAACAUCAGGCCUGGAGAGGUGGUUCCAGCAGGCACAUUCCAGCCAGCCCGGUGCUCUACUCUUGGGGCUGACUGGUCUGCUCUGGCUCAGGCAAGCUCACACAGCCCCAAACUUCUCCUAUGUAUCUGCCCUCACCUGACAGGUGACACUGACAGACAGAGGAAGCAAGAACUGGGAACUUUAACAGAACGAGGCCUAGGGCCUGAGUACAAAGCAAAAGAAGUGAGAUGUCCCUUCACGCGAUCUUCAGAAACUUGUUCAGGAUCUGUACCAAGUGCUGGAGCCUCAAAGCUGUUGAGUGCCAUCAUGAGAAGCAGCCCAUCCUCAGUUACUUGGAAAAGGAAAAGGCCACAAGAAGAAAGAGGCAAUCACUUUGAUCAGUUCUGAAAGAGUCCAACAUCCAAGUUUUUGACUCUCCAUUGAAAGCCAAAUCCUGCAAGAGACACAAGCAACUGCAAAAUACCCUUGUCUGAACUGCUCAGGUGCUUUAGGUACAGGAGCUGCACAUGAACCCACAGAGAGGAGCUCCUCUCUAACGUUGCCUUGGGAUAAAAGAUCAUCAUAAGCUGUUGUAUUGCAUUUAAACCUUUAAUUUUCACUCUGAGUUAGUCUUUGUACUGAUGUCCUUAUAUAUUAUUGCUUUUAAUUCUUAUAAAAGACAAUGAGGAAGAUAUUGUCUACAUUUUAACCCAUGGAAAGAAACAUAUUAUUUGAUUUCUAAAACAGAUUUGUUUUGCUAAGUGAAAGAUUUUGCAGUGGGUGGAAGUAUUGACUCCAGAGUUGAUGCUUAUUACCCUUAACCUUGGUAUAAUAUACAGUUUCGACAAGAUGCAGAGUCCACCUCCCAGUGACUUUACAAAUAUUCAAUAAUAUAUGAGCUACUGCAUAGAGUGAAAGUUGAAAUGGAGAAAAAGAAAAGAAACAAGGGAUCUCUGACCCAAGUGCACAAGACAAGAUUAUUGUAGGACCAUUUCAUCUAGUUAGAAGACCAAUAAUUCCUACCAUUUAGGUGAAUUUAAUUUAUUUCACACUGAUCAUUAUUGUGCUCAUUGCUA